This is a non-coding RNA of Misgurnus anguillicaudatus (oriental weatherfish), 1071 nucleotides long. The record is from RefSeq and is a predicted model, not a curated record. NCBI's taxonomy places the organism in Eukaryota, Metazoa, Chordata, Actinopteri, Cypriniformes, Cobitidae.
UGUUCCCUCUAAGCUGCGCGCGUGCGCGGACGCGCAGGCCAGUCAAAGUGGCCGCGCAAUAGAUUUGUCAGACCGCGCACAUUUUUCACACCGCACAUAAACAUUGAUGCAUUAGCUGUUGUAAAAGAAUUAAGAGAGAGAGAAGGCGAGUGUUCUAGAAGCAGAAGAAACUUUCAACCAAUCGCUGAUCUUGCUACGGUGACAGACACUUUUAUGAGCCAAUGGUAGCAGCGCAUUCAGUUCACACAGGUGCCAGCACGAGCACAGAGUUAGAGCGAGUCAGAUGAGCAGCUGCACGGGGCGAUCUCACGAAACUAAAAUAUUUAUUAAGAGGAAAAAGUGAUUCAAAACAGUGAUUUAAAACAAAUGAUUGGAUUCCUGAAGUGAUGCGAUAACUUGGAAAAGCUGUCGCAAGAGUGAGGAGAGAGCAAAAUAAAGAGCUAGAACGGAGGCAGAUGCAGAAUCACAGAGCAUCAAAACACUGCGAAUGAACUUCUUCUUUUAAAUAAGAAGUUAAAAUUUACGCUUUGGUGAGUUAUAUUCUAAAUGUUAACUUGACAUUAUGGCAUAAGUGUUGCAAAUUUGGCAGCAAACUAUGAGUUUUAUUAGUUUGUUUACAUUGGCCGUUGGUAUAUAACAAACGAGCUGAAGCUAUUUACAUUUGAAAGUUAACAGUCAAGUAACGUAAAUGUGAUUAAAAAAUAACAUUUUAAGUGUCAAUAUGUUCAAUAAGUGUUGAAACCCUGAGUUAGGUUGUUAUUUGAAAUGUUUACAUGAUGCUUAUUGAUAAAUCUGUUGAAUUGAAGAUUAAUUACUGCUCUGCUUUGUUCGAGCCCUGCUCCAUCUUGGACACGCGAGACAAUUAAGUAUAUACUGAAGGUGUAUACAAAAAGGCGAGCCAACCAGAACUGUGCUUUGAAGUCAUCAGAACUGGACACUGACUUUGAACUGAACUAUUUGAACUUUUUAAAGGAACAAACAAUUGAUUCAUGAAUUCAACCCAACUGAGUCAUUUAAGUGAAUCAUGAAUUUGGAUUACAAACAAAAUGAAACAGUGUUACUCUUUUACAA